AACUUUUUCCAAGCAUUAAAUGUUGCAAACCUACCCACUGAGCCGUCAAGAAAGGGCAAAGGAAAAACAGCGCUUUUGGGUGAAGCGGCAGCGUGUUGUGUUGUUUUGCUUCAAUCGGUGGUGUGACAAGG
Non-coding RNA from Myotis brandtii (Brandt's bat), 131 nucleotides. The record is from Rfam. Lineage: Eukaryota; Metazoa; Chordata; Mammalia; Chiroptera; Vespertilionidae.